AGCGAACGUUUGCGGCGGGCUUAACACAUGCAAGUCGAACGAGAAUCCCUUCGGGAGGAAAGUGGCGCACGGGUGCGUAACACGUGGAUAACCAACCCAUUGGUUUGGGACAACACCGGGAAACUGGUGCUAAUACCAGAUGUGUCGCAGCUGUCUUCAGGCGGUUGCGAGAAAGGCCCCGCAAGGGUCGCCAACGGACGGGUCCGCGUCCCAUCAGCUAGUUGGUGAGGUAAUGGCUCACCAAGGCAAAGACGGGUAGCUGGUCUGAGAGGAUGAUCAGCCACACUGGAACUGAGACACGGUCCAGACUCCUACGGGAGGCAGCAGUGGGGAAUAUUGCGCAAUGGGCGAAAGCCUGACGCAGCCACGCCGCGUGAGCGAUGAAGGUAC
Molecule: ribosomal RNA, 390 nt
Filed under: uncultured bacterium
Lineage: Bacteria
Description: bacterial SSU rRNA
Rfam family: Bacterial small subunit ribosomal RNA
Source: RNAcentral